CACGUAGUUAGCCGUGGCUUUCCGAUUAGGUACCGUCAAGACGUGCACAGUUACUUACACAUUUGUUCUUCCCUAAUAACAGAGUUUUACGAUCCGAAGACCUUCAUCACUCACGCGGCGUUGCUCCGUCAGGCUUUCGCCCAUUGCGGAAGAUUCCCUACUGCUGCCUCCCGUAGGAGUCUGGACCGUGUCUCAGUUCCAGUGUGGCCGAUCACCCUCUCAGGUCGGCUACGUAUCGUUGCCUUGGUAAGCCGUUACCUUACCAACUAGCUAAUACGGCGCGGGUCCAUCUAUAAGUGAUAGCAAAAACCAUCUUUCACUUUAGAACCAUGCGGUUCUAAAUGUUAUCCGGCAUUAGCCCCGGGUUUCCGGAGUUAUUCCAGUUCUUAAUAGGUUAGGUUACCCACGUGUUACUCACCCGUCCGCCGCUAACGCAAAGGAGCAAGCUCCUUAUCUGUUCGCUCGACUUGCAUGUAUUAGGCACGCCGCCAGCGUUCAUCCUAGAGCCAGGAU
RNAcentral lists this ribosomal RNA (513 nucleotides) under uncultured Staphylococcus sp. RNAcentral describes it as "partial 16S ribosomal RNA". The record is from RNAcentral. Lineage: Bacteria; Bacillati; Bacillota; Bacilli; Caryophanales; Staphylococcaceae.